GACGAACGCUAGCGGCGUGCUUAACACAUGCAAGUCGAGCGAUGAAGUUCCUUCGGGAAUGGAUUAGCGGCGGACGGGUGAGUAACACGUGGGUAACCUGCCUCAUAGAGGGGAAUAGCCUUCCGAAAGGAAGAUUAAUACCGCAUAAGAUUGUAGUGCCGCAUGGCAUAGCAAUUAAAGGAGCAAUCCGCUAUGAGAUGGACCCGCGUCGCAUUAGCUAGUUGGGGAGGUAACGGCUCACCAAGGCGACGAUGCGUAGCCGACCUGAGAGGGUGAUCGGCAACAUUGGGACUGAGACACGGCCCAGACUCCUACGGGAGGCAGCAGUGGGGAAUAUUGCACAAUGGGGGAAACCCUGAUGCAGCAACGCCGCGUGAGUGAUGACGGUCUUCGGAUUGUAAAACUCUGUCUUCAGGGACGAUAAUGACGGUACCUGAGGAGGAAGCCACGGCUAACUACGUGCCAGCCGCCGCCGUAA
This 478-nucleotide ribosomal RNA is filed under the name uncultured bacterium. Its description in RNAcentral is "partial 16S ribosomal RNA". It matches the Rfam family "Bacterial small subunit ribosomal RNA", at positions 28 to 523 of the family's 1533-position model. The record is from RNAcentral.